GCCACUUUAGCUCAGUUGGUAGAGCAGCUGAUUUGUAAUCAGCAGGUCGGGGGUUCGAAUCCGUCAAGUGGCU
This 73-nucleotide transfer RNA is filed under the name Ignavibacteria bacterium. Its description in RNAcentral is "tRNA-Thr". It matches the Rfam family "tRNA". From Rfam's summary of the family: Transfer RNA (tRNA) molecules are approximately 80 nucleotides in length. Their secondary structure includes four short double-helical elements and three loops (D, anti-codon, and T loops). Further hydrogen bonds mediate the characteristic L-shaped molecular structure. tRNAs have two regions of fundamental functional importance: the anti-codon, which is responsible for specific mRNA codon recognition, and the 3' end, to which the tRNAs corresponding amino acid is attached (by aminoacyl-tRNA synthetases). tRNAs cope with the degeneracy of the genetic code in two manners: having more than one tRNA (with a specific anti-codon) for a particular amino acid; and 'wobble' base-pairing, i.e. permitting non-standard base-pairing at the 3rd anti-codon position. The record is from RNAcentral. Lineage: Bacteria; Pseudomonadati; Ignavibacteriota; Ignavibacteria.